CGGGUGGUAAUGCCGGAUGUUCCACAUGAUCGCAUGUGAUUGUGGGAAAGAUUCUAUCGGCGUGGGAUGGGGUCGCGUCCUAUCAGCUUGUUGGUGAGGUAACGGCUCACCAAGGCUUCGACGGGUAGCCGGCCUGAGAGGGCGACCGGCCACAUUGGGACUGAGAUACGGCCCAGACUCCUACGGGAGGCAGCAGUGGGGAAUAUUGCACAAUGGGCGCAAGCCUGAUGCAGCGACGCCGCGUGAGGGAUGGAGGCCUUCGGGUUGUAAACCUCUUUUGUUUGGGAGCAAGCCUUCGGGUGAGUGUACCUUUCGAAUAAGCGCCGGCUAACUACGUGCCAGCAGCCGCGGUAAUACGUAGGGCGCAAGCGUUAUCCGGAUUUAUUGGGCGUAAAGGGCUCGUAGGCGGCUCGUCGCGUCCGGUGUGAAAGUCCAUCGCUUAACGGUGGAUCUGCGCCGGGUACGGGCGGGCUGGAGUGCGGUAGGGGAGACUGGAAUUCCCGGUGUAACGGUGGAAUGUGUAGAUAUCGGAAAAGAACACCA
Molecule: ribosomal RNA, 543 nt
Filed under: Bifidobacterium bifidum
Lineage: Bacteria; Bacillati; Actinomycetota; Actinomycetes; Bifidobacteriales; Bifidobacteriaceae
Description: bacterial SSU rRNA
Rfam family: Bacterial small subunit ribosomal RNA
Source: RNAcentral